UACAGAGGGGGCAAGCGUUGUUCGGAAUUACUGGGCGUAAAGUGUGCGCAGGCGGCCGAGCAAGUCGAGUGUGAAAGCCCCGAGCUUAACUUGGGAACUGCGCUCGAAACUACUUGGCUAGAGUGUGGCAGAGGGAGGUGGAAUUCCACGUGUAGAGGUGAAAUGCGUAGAGAUGUGGAGGAACACCGAUGGCGAAGGCAGCCUCCUGGGCCAACACUGACGCUCAUGCACGAAAGCGUGGGGAGCAAACAGG
RNAcentral lists this ribosomal RNA (253 nucleotides) under uncultured bacterium. RNAcentral describes it as "partial 16S ribosomal RNA". It matches the Rfam family "Bacterial small subunit ribosomal RNA", at positions 524 to 776 of the family's 1533-position model. The record is from RNAcentral.